Molecule: ribosomal RNA, 468 nt
Filed under: uncultured bacterium
Lineage: Bacteria
Description: partial 16S ribosomal RNA
Rfam family: Bacterial small subunit ribosomal RNA
Source: RNAcentral
GACGAACGCUGGCGGCGUGCUUAACACAUGCAAGUCGAACGGAAAGGCCCUGUUUUCGUUGUGGGCUCGGGUGGCUCACGGGUGAAUCGCACGUGUAUAACCUGCCCUAUCCUUUGGCAACUCUUGAGGAAGCUGGGGCAAAUGCCGGAUAUUAGCUCCUGCUGCGCGGUGUGGUUUGGAUAGUGUGGGCGGUUGGUGUUGGACUUGGGGCUUAUCGGCUUGUUGGUGGGGUAGUGGCUUAGGAAGGCUUUGACCGGUGGCGGGCCGGAGAGGGUGCCCGGCCACAUUGGGCCUGAGACACGGGCAAGACGCAUACGGGAGGCAGGAGUGGGGAAUAGUGCACAAAGGGCGGAAGCCUGAUGCAGCAACGCCGGGUGCGGGAUGACGGCCUUCGGGUUGUAAACCGCUUUCGCCUGGGACGAAGCGGGAGUGACGGUAAUGGGUAAAGAAGCACCGGCUAACUACGUG